RNAcentral lists this ribosomal RNA (421 nucleotides) under uncultured bacterium. RNAcentral describes it as "bacterial SSU rRNA". It matches the Rfam family "Bacterial small subunit ribosomal RNA", at positions 356 to 773 of the family's 1533-position model. The record is from RNAcentral.
AAGGAAUAUUGGACAAUGGGCGAAAGCCUGAUCCAGCCAUGCCGCGUGAAGGACGAAGGCGCUCAGCGUUGUAAACUUCUUUUGGAUGGGAACAAUAACUCCGACUUGUCGGAGCUUGAGGGUACCAUCAGAAUAAGCACCGGCUAACUCCGUGCCAGCAGCCGCGGUAAUACGGAGGGUGCAAGCGUUAUCCGGAAUCACUGGGUUUAAAGGGUGCGUAGGCGGCCCAAUAAGUUAGUCGUGAAAUCGCUGGGCUUAACCCAUGCAAUUGCGAUUGAUACUGUUGGACUUGAAUUAGGUUGAGGCUGGCGGAAUGCGACAUGUAGCGGUGAAAUGCUUAGAUAUGUCGCAGAACACCGAUUGCGAAGGCAGCCAGCUGGGCCUUGAUUGACGCUGAGGCACGAAAGCGUGGGGAGCAAAC